AAAAAAAGAGUUCUUAAACCUGCAAGGAGAGCUGUGUGAUGUGCUGAGGCACUUCCAGCUUGUCCAGUGCAUAUAUUCCCCAACCUUGACCGCAAAAUGAAAAUGUCAGAUCCCUCCACAAGUCUAGCCAUAUCUUUCCACUCAACUUACCAUACCACCUAACAAGCAUACUGUGACACUGCUGAUAAGAUGUCAGAAUUUAAUGUAAUUUUAACUGUUACUGACAUUUUAACUGCCAUUUCUGUUGUAGACAUGCAGCAGUCUCCUGACUGAGAACUCUACUGGAUGUCAAUGGCACUAACCCUGUUGCUGAAAUCAGGACUGAUUUUAGGCAUCCAGAAGUCAUGUUGUAGACCCUGCAUUUUAAAUCAGUCAAUACCUGUGCAAGAAACUGCUAAUUGCUCCAGAACUUGGGAAGCCUUAAGCAGAAAUAAUAGGUUGGUUACUGAAAAGAAUAGCGAAAUAUUUUAUUUCUUUGUAAAAUUACUUCCUAAAAGUAUAUAGCAUGGUGCAGGAAAUUAAAGAUCUGGAAGUCAGUGUUCUGAGUCCUUUUAAUAUUGAAAUUGAAUAAUGAAAUUCAAGAUUCUUAACCUGAAUGUUUUGAAGAAGGCGUAUUUUCCUCUUUUACUGGAUAUUAUCUGUUCAGGAUAUUAUACUGAGACAUCUUUUGUGUAAAAAUGUUAUUAAUGAUCUGCUUUAACAGUUUUGUAGCUUAAAAAUUUACAUUUAUACACAGAUAUAUCAAAUAUCAUAGUAAAAUCUGUCUCCCAAGCAGUCCCAACACAGUGUCUCCAUUUGUAUGGCAGCAGCAAGGCUCAGUCAUAUCCAUUCCUGUUUUGCAGAUCCUUCAGAGGUCACCAGAUCACUUGGGCAGUUUAGAUAACCUGUCCAACUCAGUGAGUUUACAACACGUGGGACAGCAAAGAGAUGCUUUAAUGUGAAGAUUUUCACUCUAAGAGCAUGAGAAAUGACGAAAGGGGCGAAGAGACAGGAAAGGGGAAUGUUAAGGAAUGGUACGUGGCAUGGUGUGGUGUUAUUUGUGAUUAAAGAGACAUUCUGUGACUGGGAAAAGUAUUAUUUUGAACAGGUGAAGUGGCAAAACACGAAGUUAAAUUGACAAAAAAAGAGUCACAUUGAGUGCAAAGAGGGAGGAUGCAGUAGUUUUGACACACUCCUGCAGUACUCAUCUUUGCUAGGGAAAAGUUAUUUUUAAUAGACAUUCAAAUUUUCAUGUAAUAUAAGUUGCAUCUUUCUUCUAAACACACAAACUUGUCAAAUUGUGUAGUGAGCUGUACAAAGUUUCAUCCCUCGGAAGUUAAAAAUUGAGGUUUAAUUUGGUGCAAGUGGCAUCCUGACCUGGUUUGACUAUUGCUUUCUCUCGUUGUUAUACACCAUUUUGGGACUUCCACCCACACCAGUAAAGAUCCAAGCAAGUUCGACGGUAAAUAAACUGUAUUUUAGUUCCUGUUGUUGACCUGUUGCCAAUGCACUGCAAACACGUCGGAAUAUUUUUCUGAAGGGCCAUCUCCAUAGCGCUGCUUUGUCCCGAGUGCAGCCCGAGCCGUUCCCUGGCGAGCCGAGGCUGCUGAGCCCCGGUGUGUGCGCUCUGCUGGGAAACUCAUCCUGGCUUCCCGCCGGGAGCGUUUCCUGGCUCGGGCACGGCACAGCCUUUCCUGGCUCCUUCAGGCAGAGCAGGAGCUCCUUGCUGCCAUCUAUUGAUAGCACGGCCGAAAGUCAGCCCUUCGCGGGGCCGGGAGGCCUUCGGGGGGCCGGGAGGCGUCAGGGAGCCGCCCCACACCGCUUUUACGUCUCUGUUCGUAGAGCUAACAUGGGGGAACGGGGGGUUCUUCUCAAUGAUUGAAUUAGCAGAAGAUAGUUUUAAUUUGACGCAGGGAUCAUACUAUUCCUCAAAGUCUGUGGUCUUCCCCUUGGGACUCUCAUUGAACCAAGCCAGCUGCUGAAGACAACACUUGGCUAAGACAUAGCUGCUGAUGCUCAUGAUGCAUAGCCUGGUCUGUGUCUGCGUGAUCUUGCAGAGCCCCAGUGUCAGAAACCUUGGACACCAGAACAGACACAGCCUCUGAUCAUGUUGCUUUGAUGAAUGUUAUAUGGAUUAGCAAAACAGCAGUGUCAGAGGAGCUGUGCUUUGCUGGUCCAUACAGCCUUGGUCCAGUGAAUAUUUCCAGGGUCUUUUGUUGCUUCUCUUAAAAUGUAAGGAGAGAUUGAGGUGCUGAAUUGC
Molecule: long non-coding RNA, 2239 nt
Organism: Catharus ustulatus (Swainson's thrush)
Lineage: Eukaryota; Metazoa; Chordata; Aves; Passeriformes; Turdidae
Exons: 4
Source: RefSeq, a predicted model, not a curated record